Alligator sinensis (Chinese alligator) is the source of this 352-nucleotide long non-coding RNA. RefSeq lists it as uncharacterized. Lineage: Eukaryota; Metazoa; Chordata; Crocodylia; Alligatoridae. The record is from RefSeq and is a predicted model, not a curated record. The transcript is spliced from 3 exons.
UCGAUGCAUCCAACCAAGCUGUGGGGGCCAUGUUGACACAAGAGACAGAUGGUGUAGAACGCCCUAUCGCCUAUGCUAGCAGGAAACUCCAACCGCAAGAACAAAGGGUAAGAACUAUCUGUGAAGCAUGCUGUGCAUGUCCUACUUCCAGGGAUGACUAUUGCUCAUCCUCCUGGCCUACACUGUGCAAGAUUUUGAAAUGCUGAAAAAUUACAAAUGUUCAGUAAUCUCAUCAUUCCCGAAAAGCACCCAAGCAAGGAAUACCAAUGCUAAGGCAUGAUCAUCACCUCUCCCACCCACCCCCAAACUGCACAGACUGCCAUGCCAAUCUGCCUAUGAAAAAAAACAUGCC